AUACGUAGGGUGCGAGCGUUGUCCGGAAUUACUGGGCGUAAAGAGCUCGUAGGUGGUUUGUCGCGUCGUCUGUGAAAUUCCGGGGCUUAACUCCGGGCGUGCAGGCGAUACGGGCAUAACUUGAGUACUGUAGGGGAGACUGGAAUUCCUGGUGUAGCGGUGAAAUGUGCAGAUAUCAGGAGGAACACCGGUGGCGAAGGCGGGUCUCUGGGCAGUAACUGACGCUGAGGAGCGAAAGCAUGGGUAGCGAACAGGAUUAGAUACCCUGGUAGUCCAUGCCGUAAACGGUGGGCGCUAGGUGUAGGGGUCUUCCACGACUUCUGUGCCGUAGCUAACGCAUUAAGCGCCCCGCCUGGGGAGUACGGCCGCAAGGCUAAAACUCAAAUGAAUUGACGGGG
Molecule: ribosomal RNA, 398 nt
Filed under: uncultured bacterium
Lineage: Bacteria
Description: partial 16S ribosomal RNA
Rfam family: Bacterial small subunit ribosomal RNA
Source: RNAcentral